UUCUAACCCAUCUUUAGAGCCCAUGGCCAGGUGACAGCUCAGCUCCAGGACCCAGGCAGGGAUCUGCUCCCUUCCAAUAGCAAAUAAGCCCAUUUUCCUCAUCAGAAUCAGGAGAUUCUCCCAGCCAAUGGGGUGGCUGUUUGCCGGGUGAGUCACCCCAUAAAGGACUGAAGUAUGUGGUUUGGCAAAGCAGACAUUCCUGCACUACAUGAAAGGGUGAUAGCAAUACAGUAUCUCUGGUUUAAUGUUCCAUCUUUUGUUGUGUUACUUAUGCAAAGAAGAGAGGGGUGGCAGGGCAGGAGACGUGGGGGGAGAAGGAGGAAUCCCUGAGAAGUCCAAAGCUCCAGGCUGUAAACCUUGCUAUGAGAGACUCCCUGGCCCCAUUCCCAUGGCUAGCCUCACUUAGUUAUCAGCCCAUCCAUGCCAUAGAAGCAUUGGCAUGAGAAAAAAGGAUCAGAAACCUGCAGGGUCAGAGCCAUCCCCAGGAUCCUACAAGCCCCUUGGCUGCCUCCUCCCUCUCCCCCAGCUCCAUGGACCAGCCACCACUAAGCAUGACCCUUGGCGUGUAUACAGGCCAGCCCUAGAAAUAUAAGCUUGAAAGUGGGGAGUGAUUAGAGGAAUUCUGUUACAUCCUAGUGGACUCAGGACAGGUGGCAUGGGACUAAGGUCAUGCAGGUAGAAAGAAGCAGGACCAGAAUUUGAAUCAAGCUCUUCUGACCUCAAAUCUGCGCUUUUCCCACAAUUCUACAUCGUCUAGUCUUUGUCCGUGCCAUGGACAAAGCACUGAGCUUUUCCCUGAACUUGGAGUCUGGGGACCCAACUCCAAAAACCAGAUCUGCUAUUUACUACCUGCUGGAUGAGAGGCAAGCCACUUCCCCUCAUCCGACCUUCCUUUCUUCAUCUGUAAAACGAGGGGGUUCAGCUGGAUGGCCCCAAAGGCCCUUCUAGCACUCCAUCGGCAUCCUGGGAUCCCCUCCCUAUUCAUCCUCUAAUAGCCAAUCCAAGAAGAGACCUCCAGUGAUCACCUCAACAGCCCCACAGGGUUUCCUCCAAGGAGCCUCUACCUGGACAUCUAUAUCACUAAAUUGGCAUUUAAUAUGCGCUAAGUCCUCCUUCCUUAUUGUUACGAUUUGGUAUGCUUAUGACCAUCCCACACAACCAGACUAUAAGCUCUUGGAAGGAGAGAGUCCCAGACAUGAUUGUCUCAAGAUGCUGCCUGUCAGAAACAUCACUAAUCCACAACAUGUUCCAGCUUUCCUCCUGUACUCCUGGACAAUUGCAUUAACCAGGGUAGGUGCCAAUCAAACACGGACCUUAGGCAAGCUGCUGACCCUUUCUGGGUCUCGUUUUCCAAGCCCGGAGCAGGGGAGGGGAGGAGUGCACCUAUGCGCAUGGCGCCAUGUUUCUGUGGGGAUUGGGGGAGACAAUUUUUGGGUACCCCGGGUUUCAGCAAAAGCCCCCGGAAA
Molecule: long non-coding RNA, 1466 nt
Filed under: Monodelphis domestica (gray short-tailed opossum)
Lineage: Eukaryota; Metazoa; Chordata; Mammalia; Didelphimorphia; Didelphidae
Description: lncRNA (ENSMODG00000044339.1)
Source: RNAcentral